AGAGUUUGAUCCUGGCUCAGAUUGAACGCUGGCGGCAGGCUUAACACAUGCAAGUCGAGCGGUAACAGAGAUAGCUUGCUAUCUGCUGACGAGCGGCGGACGGGUGAGUAAUGCUUGGGAAUAUGCCUUUGAGUGGGGGACAACAGUUGGAAACGACUGCUAAUACCGCAUAACGUCUACGGACCAAAGGGGGGGAUCUUCGGACCUCUCGCUCAUUGAUUAGCCCAAGUGAGAUUAGCUAGUUGGUAAGGUAAUGGCUUACCAAGGCGACGAUCUCUAGCUGGUUUGAGAGGAUGAUCAGCCACACUGGGACUGAGACACGGCCCAGACUCCUACGGGAGGCAGCAGUGGGGAAUAUUGCACAAUGGGCGGAAGCCUGAUGCAGCCAUGCCGCGUGUGUGAAGAAGGCCUUCGGGUUGUAAAGCACUUUCAGUUGUGAGGAAAGGGGUGUAGUUAAUAGCUGCAUCCUGUGACGUUAACAACAGAAGAAGCACCGGCU
Molecule: ribosomal RNA, 499 nt
Filed under: uncultured bacterium
Lineage: Bacteria
Description: bacterial SSU rRNA
Rfam family: Bacterial small subunit ribosomal RNA
Source: RNAcentral